UAUGUGUAUAUAUAUAUAUGUGUGUGUGUAUGUGUGUAUAUAUACAUAUAUAUAUAUACAUAUAUAUAUAUACACAUACA
This is a non-coding RNA of Podarcis lilfordi (Lilford's wall lizard), 80 nucleotides long. The record is from the annotation of a GenBank genome assembly. NCBI's taxonomy places the organism in Eukaryota, Metazoa, Chordata, Lepidosauria, Squamata, Lacertidae.